RNAcentral lists this long non-coding RNA (450 nucleotides) under Anser brachyrhynchus (Pink-footed goose). RNAcentral's name for it is "lncRNA (ENSABRG00000008113.1)". Lineage: Eukaryota; Metazoa; Chordata; Aves; Anseriformes; Anatidae. The record is from RNAcentral.
AUGGAAUUGGCUGUGCCUGGCAUGGGGCAACCCUGGCCUCUCCUCAUGGAGGCCCCUGCAAUCCCACCACCAACAGUUUCACACCUGCACCUGAUAUAAAGAUACACAACCCAAUGUAAACAUCUGAAGGAAUAUUUUUCUUCCCAACCCCAGGACAACUGAGACUCACAGGCAUUACAAAUGGGAAUAUUUAGACUUGGAAGCUGAGUAUUUGGAAGGUGCUGACUAGGCUUCCCUGAAGAAGUUCCUUGUUGUGAAGAAAGCUUAACAAUAUGAAUUAUUAUUUAUUGAGUCUCUGGACAGUUUCUGAGCAAAACAUACACUUGAGACCAAGAGUGACAGAGAAAGGAAAACAGAGUGUAUUGCUCAUUUUGUUGAUCGAACUAUUCAAUGAAGUGAAGGGUUCUGCUUUGGUCAGCCCUACAGUGUAAAAAUAAAAUGAAAAACAAG